Molecule: non-coding RNA, 1140 nt
Organism: Leptonychotes weddellii (Weddell seal)
Lineage: Eukaryota; Metazoa; Chordata; Mammalia; Carnivora; Phocidae
Source: RefSeq, a predicted model, not a curated record
GAGACAAUACUCUUCCUGGACUGAACCUUGUGGUUCUUACUAUGAUUGCAGAACACACCUCAGCGACAACCGUCAGGAAACUUUGAAACACUCUUACUCACAAGUCCUGGAGGAUGCAUACCACACCCAGGGCCACAGAUAAGGUAGCAGUAAGAGAGAGAGAGAGAAAGAGAGAGGCAAAGAGAGAAAGAAAGAGACAGAGAGACACCUAGAGUUUUCCAGGUUCACUAUUAAUUGGGGAAUUUAAAACAUAUGAGUGGGACGUAAGCCUGGAGAAGGGAAAGCACGGUUACUCAGACAGGGCUUUUUAAAAGGGGAAACUCAUGGGUGGGGAGGCCUGGCCCUUUAUCUAGUUGUGUAGCUGCCAAUGUGUUUAUUUGAGAUGGAUGUCUUUGAAAUGGAUGCCUUGACAACCAAAGCUUAAUGUCAAGCACCGACAUUACAAUAAAAAAAGCUAAUGGUCACGCAUUUACACUACACAUCUAUUGUAAGACGCUUCCCAAUUUCAGAGCUGUUAAAACAUUAUAGAAAAUGCAUUUUGGAACUAAAGAAAUUCAACAUUGAGCAUUUAUCACUGGCUAAGUGCUUUACAUAGAACUUAAGUAAUCAUUGCAAAUCAGGAUUACCACUUUUCAUCUCUAUUUUGCAGAUGAGGGAAUUGAAGCUCACGGAGGUAUAUAACUUGCCCUUGGUCAUAAAACUGGCAAAUUGAGGAACUGAGAUUUUAACACAACUCUACCUGAUAGAGCACCCAAGCUCCUUACCACUGUGCUAUCCUUGCUUUGGGGACUGGAAUGAAGGAGUCCAAAGCUGCUUUAAACAAGUAUUGGAAUAGAAUUGUCAGAAGUGUCCUGCCCAGGUCUUGCCUGACGGGGGCCAAGGGCUGACCCCCACAGAAUGUGACCUUAAGAGGCAAUAUAUUGGUCUUUGGAAGAGAAUUCUUGACGAACUCUUUGGUCCUGGAAAUUCACAUUGAAAGCCAUCCCUUCCAGCUGCUGAAGUGACUAUGGAAGCGUGUAUUAAGGUGGAGCCUCUUUCAGCCUGUUUCUUCCAGUGAUGCAAUGAGCAGAAGGCCACUGCCAAGCCAACUAGACACUGAGCAUGAGUGACAAAUAAACUUUUGGUCUGCUUGCUGCUGAA